CUGUGAGCUAGCUCACACUAACUCAGCUUAGAGGGAACACUGGUCCACAGUAUGAGAAAGGAUCUCAUCAGGGCGAGGAAUGCCUGGCUGGGGCCCUGGAGGACCACUGCAGCGGAUUAGCAGUACUAGAUAGAUGAACGGUCUGAUCUGGUGCAAGGCAGAUCCGUAUUUGGGGACAGCCACACAUUGUCUGUUUCCCCGUUUCCUCCGGGGGCACAUGAGCGCACAAGGAUCGAGCCACUGGAAAACAUUUGUGAUGCCGUUUUACCCGGUAGGUGCCAGCGACAAUCAAUACUAGCACGGGAUGAGCCAUGUCUGUGGACUUUAAACUAUCCCAGGAUUCCUUAACCGCGUUCUCAGUAAGGAGAUCAGUAACAAGGGGCAAGCGUUCCUAAAAGAGUUUGCUCACUGCUAGCUUAUGUUCCGUGCAAAAUGAAGCCUAUACAGACUUUUGGGUGUGUCUUUAAGGGCAUACAUGUGGGGGCUCACACCAUACACUGUUCUCGGGUCUUGCCCAGCAGUACGCAUAAGUGUCCCCAGUGGGAUAAAGGCAGCUCCCUGAGGCUACCAGGAAAAUGGUCUGAGGGGAAGCUUAAUCCUCAUGUGCAAUGGUUCCGAACUGAAUUGGGCUUCUGUGCACCUGGAAAUCUUUAACGCGAAAACUCUCAUCGUACCGGUACUUGACAGGACCUGGGGACAAUGUAUCAUGUGGUUUAGGCCCUCCACUCACACAGAGGAAUACAAGGGCCUUGGCAAAGUACUGCAUGUGAACUGAAUGGGUUUCAGUUUGCUCACUGCUAUCUUAUGUCCCUUGCAAAAUGAAGCCUAGACUUUUGGGUGUGUCUUUAAGGGCACACACAUGGGGGCUUAGAACAGGGGUCUCUAACCUUUUAGACCCCGUGGGCGCUGUUGGAAUUCUGACACGGCAAUAGGGACAACCACAAAAUGGCUGCCGCAGGAGGGAGAGCCAGCCACAGAACGUCAGACAGUGAGGUUAUACGUAACUCUUGUAGUAACUCUUCAACCUUUCAGGCAGAAAUACUGUUCUUGAAAACACCUCGCUUAUCUAUAUGCAGUAAUGAUCCUGGUGUUGUGGCAGUAGCUGCCAAAGCAAUGUUGCUGUUUUUUCAGUCUGCCCUGCCAAUCAAAGCUCCAGUGGCCAGUAAGAUGCCCUGCUAGGCAAAAGCCCCACCUGGCCCUACCCACUUUCUAAAAAUGACUAACAGGCACCAGAAAAGGUGCCUGCAGUUACGAUGGUGCCCCCUGCCUUAGAACAGUCCCUAGAAGUUGGUGCCGUGUGUGGAGGUUCCAAGACAAGCAGUGGGUUUCUUAGCAGAUGAGUUGAUAUAAAAAGGGUUCUUUCCCCAAAGGGAGUUUUGGAUACCACUGUGAUAUCUCACAAGAAAUCUACAUUUUCCAAAGGAUCAAAUAUUGCACUUGACAAUGUGACAUCCUUCUGAUCAAAUGAGGGAAGACAUGUUGACGGGGCACAAAAUUAGUGGCAGAUGUGCAAUUUAUUGUGCAAAAAAGAAGAAGAAGCUGAUCGUGCAGAAAAGCUCUAAAGCCUUAGUACAGUUUGUGUUUCCAUUUUCCAUUCAGCGCUCCCCUCCACCCCAUCCCAAUGCAAAAUGAAUGUGACUGGUUCCAGGGAAGCAAAUGCAGCUUGUUCCCAGCCAUCAUACUUAGGUCAGAGAGCAAUUCCAGAAUUAGGCAGGAUACUUUCCCCCCGGGGCCUGAGAAAUAGGAUGAGUGUGUAAAUAGUUUGUGUGAAGAGUGAAUGACCUAAAUGAAAAAGGCAGAACUGAGGAGGACGCAGGCAGAAAAUCCAAAAGAGGGAAGAGAAAGACAGGAUGGAUUGAAAUCCUAAUGGAAUAGGUGGCAGGGGACAAAACGGAGGAUUCUACAAGGAUAGGUACUGAAAAUAGGAGGAGUGAGGAAUAGUUUGGUAGAGGAGCCAGGAUGAGAAGGGGGGGCAGGGAGAUAAGCCAAUUCAGACUCAUGGAAGCAUUAACUGAGGAAGACAAAAAAAAAUGAACCUGAUAUCAAGAAUGCUGAACAAGAGGGUUAAAAAACUUACAAAAAAGAUGUUACGCACCAGAGAAGGGGGAUUUGAAGGACAAUGGUAAGGAAUAUAGUGUAGGAAAGAUUGAAUAGAUGCACGGGUGACAUAUCGAGAUGGCAUCUUAGCCACGAAAGGAUGGGGACGUUAGACCUGGAGAAAAAAAGUCUUUGGUGGGAUUGAGAAGAUACCAAAAGGAGAUGAAAAGAAGGAAUGUGAAUAAGGCCAUGGAUUGUGGAAGAAAAUAAGAGACUUGGAGAAAAGGCCUCAAAGCUGAACCGAUUCAAACGUGUCGUGCACAAGGACUUGGGUGGCGUAAGAGACCGAACUAGGAGCAACGCAAGCCCACACAGACUUUCUCACUUGCUCUCCCCUUUGAUCGCCGGAGGGCUCCAUGCUAGUCAGUCCAAUAGCUUUAUUACCUCAUGGCGCAAGAAAACCAAUAGAGACUUGGGACAGAGACCUUUUGAACCUGCUACCUCUGUGUGCCCUGGGGGGGCUUGUGCUGCAAAGCCCCCCAAAACCUGCCCUGUUCCCCAUGACAGAAAUUGGAGGAGGGAGGGGGGUUUAUUGCGUGACUAGCAUUUGAUUUGUUCUGGGCUUUUUUUUUUUUUUUUGCUUUAAAUUUCCUUUGCUUUUAUUAUCAUUUUUUUUCUUCUAUAAAAUUGAAGACAAGUUUCA
This is a long non-coding RNA of Gekko japonicus, 2740 nucleotides long. RefSeq lists it as uncharacterized. The record is from RefSeq and is a predicted model, not a curated record. The transcript is spliced from 2 exons. Lineage: Eukaryota; Metazoa; Chordata; Lepidosauria; Squamata; Gekkonidae.